AUAGGGUAAUUUGGUGAAUAAGUAGGGGGAUCGGGACGGUCACCGAUGGAUGGAGACAAGUACUGAGGUUGGCCUCGGCGCAAUUUUAGUCAAUACGGUGCUGCAUACGUCUAUUGCCUUUCCUCACGGUAAUAAUGAAUUUAUUUAAUUUUAAUUUAUGAUUGUUAGAGAUUAGAUCUAAUUAUGAGUUGGAUUACUCGGUUUGAUUUGAAGGUUCAUUCUAAAAAUAAAAGGGUUUGAACAAAAAUAUAGUCUCGAAAAAUGAGUUUAAGUAAAAAAUAAGACCCGUUUAGAAAAUAGAUCAAGCCUCGGGUAAUAUUUUUUUGGCCUAGCCUUGACCCCAGCUGUAGCUCGAAUUUACAAAAAAGAAAAAGCUUGCAAUUUUAUAGCUAUUUUGCUGCUUUUUUUUCACUAUUUUACUCUCAUUUUAUUGAUGUGACAUAUAAAUUAAUUAUCAUUUGGAUGUUAAGAUAGCAAUUAAUUUUUUAAAUUUAAAAAAAAAUUUAAAUAUUAAUAUGGUGUGGGUUGUUACAUUGAUGCCAUAUAAGUAAAGUUAACAAAGUUAAUUUUUUCAAUCUAUUUUAAAAUAAUUUGACAAAUAAUACAAGUUUAAAAGACUAAAGGAAAUAAAAAAUUAAUAAAUAAUUAAAAUAAAUUUUUUAAAAUUGAAAGACCAAAUAAAUCAUUUUACCUAUAUAAUAUAAUAUAAUAUAUCCAUUUGAAGAGGGAACAUGAUUAUUUUAUUCAUCUCCGAUCCACUUAGAAAUUAAAAACUUUUUCUUCAAUUUUCUUCUAUUCUCUUUUUUUUUCCUCGCAAUUGUAAAGGAGGCCGAUAAAGAAGAGGCAAAUUUGGGUGAGAUCAGUGCAAAUUAAAGAAAAGGUACAAAAAUGAAUAAAGCUUCCAUUUUAGGCUUAUGUUAUAGGUAGAAGAAACUGAAGUAGUUGAAUGUUAUUGCCCACAACAAAAUCAAAAUCACAUCUCAUCAUCAUCCAUUAUUCCAGUACUCAUAAUCUUUUAUAUAAUUUAUGUAUUUGUUAGAAUUGAGUGACCCGGAUCCUUAUUUAAAUAAAAUACAAUGGUAAAAUAAAAUAAAAGUAAAAUCCAUAUAGAACUACACUUCUUUUAUUUUAUUUUAGAUUAAGGUUUUUCAACCUUAUUAUACUUCAUCUAUUUAAUAUUGAUUAAAGUGUUUCAACCUUACUACACUCAUUCUAUUAGAAUAUGGUUUUACAAGCCUAUAAAUAGGCAUAGUCUACUCCUCUUGUAAUUAAAAAUUCGAAUUCGACAUAGUGAAUUAUCUUCUCCUCUGCCAGUGGUUUUUUUCGAAAUAGUUUCCACGUAAAAUUAUAUGUGUUCUUUAUUUUUCUUUCUCUUUUCUUUACGAUACAUUGUCAUUACCAACAUUUUAUUUUUCACAAAUUGAUAUCAGAGCUUUCCAGGUUGCUUAUCUCGAUCACGGUAAUGACAUCUUUGAAGUAUGAAAUUUUGCUGUUGGAUCGCAACACAAGAUUCGCGUUUUGGUAAAUUAAGAUGCAGGCGGUUCUUGUGCAGAUGGGUCUGGAGGAUACCCUACUAAGGAUAGAUAAGAUGCCUUUGACAUUGACGGAGGAAGAGAAGAGGCAUAAAGAUUGAAAUGUGUUAACACAGUUACAUCUGCAUUUAUCUAACGAAAUUUUACAGGAUGUGAUGAAG
Molecule: long non-coding RNA, 1693 nt
Filed under: Gossypium raimondii (Peruvian cotton)
Lineage: Eukaryota; Viridiplantae; Streptophyta; Magnoliopsida; Malvales; Malvaceae
Description: long non-coding RNA (GRAI_LNC001118)
Source: RNAcentral